RNAcentral lists this transfer RNA (70 nucleotides) under Urocitellus parryii (Arctic ground squirrel). RNAcentral's name for it is "Spermophilus parryii (Arctic ground squirrel) tRNA". It matches the Rfam family "tRNA". From Rfam's summary of the family: Transfer RNA (tRNA) molecules are approximately 80 nucleotides in length. Lineage: Eukaryota; Metazoa; Chordata; Mammalia; Rodentia; Sciuridae. RNAcentral also lists the same sequence under 2 other names. The record is from Rfam by way of RNAcentral.
GGGGAUGUAGCUUAGUGGUAGAGUGCCUGCCUAACAUGCAUGAGGCCCUGGAUUUGAUUGCAGCACCCCA